Long non-coding RNA from Bos indicus x Bos taurus (hybrid cattle), 298 nucleotides. NCBI's taxonomy places the organism in Eukaryota, Metazoa, Chordata, Mammalia, Artiodactyla, Bovidae. The record is from Ensembl.
GGAGAUUUUCAGUUUCAUUUUGCACAUCUUCAUGGACUGUGGAUCCGGGACAUGUUCAGAGGUCCCUUGGCUCUGUGCUCUCCAGAAGGUCCGACACUCCUAUUCCCUCCUGUGGGGCAGCAAGGCCUCUUCUCUUUGCGUUCCUCUCCCUGCACUGGGGAGAUUUGGUUGCAACUCCAGGGAUGCCUGGGAAAUCGUGGGAACAGGUGAGAAUGCUGGUUUCAAGACUGGCGUGUUUCUUUGCUGUUCUCCUUUGCGUGUGUAUGUGUGUGCUCAGCUGUGUCUGACUCUUUGCAGC